RNAcentral lists this ribosomal RNA (253 nucleotides) under uncultured bacterium. RNAcentral's name for it is "partial 16S ribosomal RNA". It matches the Rfam family "Bacterial small subunit ribosomal RNA", at positions 524 to 776 of the family's 1533-position model. The record is from RNAcentral.
UACAGAGGGUGCGAGCGUUGUCCGGAAUCACUGGGCGUAAAGGGCGCGUAGGCGGUUCGGUAAGCGCGUGGUGAAAGCUCGGGGCUCAACCCCGAGUCGGCCGUGCGAACUGCUGGACUGGAGCAUGUCAGAGGCAGGCGGAAUUCCGGGUGUAGCGGUGGAAUGCGUAGAGAUCCGGAAGAACACCGGUGGCGAAGGCGGCCUGCUGGGACAUUGCUGACGCUGAGGCGCGACAGCGUGGGGAGCAAACAGG